GCAAGCAAACUCAGUAUGCAGCUAAAAGCUCCCAAGCUGAUUUGCAACGAAGUCAUUCACCCACCCAGGUUCCCGAAGGACAUGUUGUGAAAAGGGGACUGCAGUGGAUGAGGCUUGAAAGCUUCUCCAGAACCUUCCAGCAAGUGGAGGGAAGGAGGGAGUAUGAGACCCCAGCUCCUCGCAGGUUCAACCCAAAGCCCACACUCUGGAACACCACUAAACUCCGGAACACCCAGAACACUACACAGCUGCACAGCUCCAGGACACAGAAUACACCUCACACAGUGCAAGGAAACUUCUGGAGGCCAUCCCUAACAACAGCAGCAGCUUGGCAGCCAGAGGUGUGCAGCAGCAGUUUUCUUAGGGUUGCCAUAGCAACACCACCGAUGGCAACCUGCAAACAGUGCAAUCCAGGUCCCUCAGUCAAGCAGUGAAUUUCAAGCACAGAUUCAACCACAAAGACCAGGGAGGUUUUCCAAUGCCUCGCAAAGUACGCCACCUAUUGGUAGAUGAAGAAGAACUCAGACAUUGAAUAUCCCUUUGUGCAUGUUGAAGUUAUGGGUGUAAUUAAUAAUUACACGUUAUUAAUUACACCCAGUCACUACAAAGAUACAGCCGUCCUUCCUAUCACAGUUAGAGGAAGGACACCGCUCAGAGAUUUCACCAUGAGGCCAAUGGUGACUAUAAAACAGUUAGAGUUUAAUGGCUGUGAUAGGAGAAAACUGAGGAUGGAUCAACAACAUUGUAGUUACUCCACAAUACUAACCUAAUUGACAGAGUGAAAUGAAGGAAGCCUGUACAGAAUACAAAUAUUCCAAAACAUGCAUCCUGUUAUCAACAAUGCACUAAAGUAACACUGCAAAAAAUGCAGCAAAGCAAUACACUUUUUGUCCUGAAUACACUGUGUUAUGUUUGGGACAAAUCCAAUACUCUUCCUGGGGUCCAGCAAAAAUGAAGGCAGUUAUAAAAGUAUUUUUUAACAUGAUAAUACAUUCAUAACAGAUUUAACAAGUGUGUGCCCAUGGGACUCUAUAGUCGUGGCCAAAAGUUUUGAGAAUUACACAAAUAUUAAUUUUCACAUUAUUUGCUGCUUCAGUAUCUUUAGAUAUUUUUGUCAGAUGUUACUAUGGAAUACUGAAGUAUAAUUACAAGCAUUUCAUAAGCGUUAAAGG
Molecule: long non-coding RNA, 1172 nt
Filed under: Salmo salar (Atlantic salmon)
Lineage: Eukaryota; Metazoa; Chordata; Actinopteri; Salmoniformes; Salmonidae
Description: lncRNA (ENSSSAG00000116363.1)
Source: RNAcentral